GAUGAACGCUGGCGGCGUGCCUAAUACAUGCAAGUCGAGCGAACGGACGAGAAGCUUGCUUCUCUGAUGUUAGCGGCGGACGGGUGAGUAACACGUGGAUAACCUACCUAUAAGACUGGGAUAACUUCGGGAAACCGGAGCUAAUACCGGAUAAUAUUUUGAACCGCAUGGUUCAAAAGUGAAAGACGGUCUUGCUGUCACUUAUAGAUGGAUCCGCGCUGCAUUAGCUAGUUGGUAAGGUAACGGCUUACCAAGGCAACGAUGCAUAGCCGACCUGAGAGGGUGAUCGGCCGCACUGGAACUGAGACACGGUCCAGACUCCUACGGGAGGCAGCAGUAGGGAAUCUUCCGCAAAGGGCGAAAGCCUGACGGAGCAACGCCGCGUGAGUGAUGAAGGUCUUCGGAUCGUAAAACUCUGUUAUUAGGGAAGAACAUAUGUGUAAGUAACUGUGCACAUCUUGACGGUACCUAAUCAGAAAGCCACGGCUAACUACGUG
This 497-nucleotide ribosomal RNA is filed under the name uncultured bacterium. Its description in RNAcentral is "partial 16S ribosomal RNA". It matches the Rfam family "Bacterial small subunit ribosomal RNA", at positions 28 to 507 of the family's 1533-position model. The record is from RNAcentral.